Molecule: long non-coding RNA, 512 nt
Organism: Herpailurus yagouaroundi (jaguarundi)
Lineage: Eukaryota; Metazoa; Chordata; Mammalia; Carnivora; Felidae
Exons: 3
Source: RefSeq, a predicted model, not a curated record
AGGUCACCGAAUUUUCUCCUGGAAAGAAAGAAUAUUUUAAUCUGAUUUGUGAGUCUGGAAGGAGAAACUGAAUUUCACCAAUCAUUCCCAAGGACACUCCAAGGAUGAGGAAGUGGAUAUGGUCCCAUAUCUGUGCUUUGGGGGGAGCAACCCAGGCUCCAAGAAAGGGAGCUACCAAAUGAUUUCUUCCAACAAAAUGAAGACACAAAACCAAGACAAGGAAGACCUGGAAUACAAGAAACAGGAGAUCUAAUACAAGAAACAGGUGAAGGGAGAUAUCCUAGGAUGAAAACUAGGAGUGGUUCAUGUAAGAGCAAGAAAAAAAAACUCCAGAAUUUUCUUCAUAAAUGCAAAACUGAUAGGAAUAAACACCUUAAGAGGAUAUGUGGAUAAAUGGCAGUAAACCUAGAGGUAAAUUAUAUUGAUAAAUACAAAGAAAACUAGUAACAACAAAAAUACAGCUAUUAACUUUAAGGGGGAAAAAAGAUGCUGAGGAAAAUAAAAGUAACAUA